Molecule: ribosomal RNA, 700 nt
Filed under: Staphylococcus sp. V41-PCA-E14
Lineage: Bacteria; Bacillati; Bacillota; Bacilli; Caryophanales; Staphylococcaceae
Description: bacterial SSU rRNA
Rfam family: Bacterial small subunit ribosomal RNA
Source: RNAcentral
AGCUUGCUCCUUUGAAGUUAGCGGCGGACGGGUGAGUAACACGUGGGUAACCUACCUAUAAGACUGGAAUAACUUCGGGAAACCGGAGCUAAUGCCGGAUAAUAUUUGGAACCGCAUGGUUCUAAAGUGAAAGAUGGUUUUGCUAUCACUUAUAGAUGGACCCGCGCCGUAUUAGCUAGUUGGUAAGGUAACGGCUUACCAAGGCGACGAUACGUAGCCGACCUGAGAGGGUGAUCGGCCACACUGGAACUGAGACACGGUCCAGACUCCUACGGGAGGCAGCAGUAGGGAAUCUUCCGCAAUGGACGAAAGUCUGACGGAGCAACGCCGCGUGAGUGAUGAAGGUUUUCGGAUCGUAAAACUCUGUUAUUAGGGAAGAACAUAUGUGUAAGUAACUGUGCACAUCUUGACGGUACCUAAUCAGAAAGCCACGGCUAACUACGUGCCAGCAGCCGCGGUAAUACGUAGGUGGCAAGCGUUAUCCGGAAUUAUUGGGCGUAAAGCGCGCGUAGGCGGUUUCUUAAGUCUGAUGUGAAAGCCCACGGCUCAAUCGUGGAGGGUCAUUGGAAACUGGAAAACUUGAGUGCAGAAGAGGAAAGUGGAAUUCCAUGUGUAGCGGUGAAAUGCGCAGAGAUAUGGAGGAACACCAGUGGCGAAGGCGACUUUCUGGUCUGUAACUGACGCUGAUGUGCGAAAGCGU